RNAcentral lists this ribosomal RNA (1490 nucleotides) under uncultured rumen bacterium. Its description in RNAcentral is "bacterial SSU rRNA". It matches the Rfam family "Bacterial small subunit ribosomal RNA". The record is from RNAcentral.
AGAGUUUGAUCCUGGCUCAGGAUGAACGCUAGCGGCAGGCCUAACACAUGCAAGUCGAGGGGUAACGCGAGGUAGCAAUACUUCGGCGACGACCGGCGCACGGGUGCGUAACGCGUAUGCAACCUGCCCUGUACAGGGGGAUAACGGGGUGAAAAUCCCACUAAUAUCCCAUGGUGUCGCGAGGCCGCAUGGUUUUGCGACUAAAGCUUCGGUGGUACAGGAUGGGCAUGCGUGACAUUAGCUAGUUGGCGGGGCAACGGCCCACCAAGGCAACGAUGUCUAGGGGAGCUGAGAGGCUAAUCCCCCACACUGGUACUGAGACACGGACCAGGCUCCUACGGGAGGCAGCAGUGAGGAAUAUUGGUCAAUGGAGGGAACUCUGAACCAGCCAUGCCGCGUGAGGGAAGAAGGCCCUAUGGGUUGUAAACCUCUUUUGCCUGGGGGCAAUAAGGCGCAUGCGUGCGUUGAUGAGAGUACCAGGCGAAUAAGCAUCGGCUAACUCCGUGCCAGCAGCCGCGGUAAUACGGAGGAUGCGAGCGUUAUCCGGAUUUAUUGGGUUUAAAGGGUGCGCAGGCGGUCGAUUAAGUCAGCGGUGAAAUGUCCCGGCUCAACCGGGGAGCUGCCGUUGAUACUGGUUGGCUUGAGUGCGAACGGCGCCGGCGGAAUGAGUGGUGUAGCGGUGAAAUGCAUAGAUAUCACUCAGAACACCGAUCGCGAAGGCAGCUGGCGAGGACGUUACUGACGCUGAGGCACGAAAGCGUGGGGAUCAAACAGGAUUAGAUACCCUGGUAGUCCACGCAGUAAACGAUGAUGACUUGUUGUCGGCGAUAGAAUGUCGGUGACAAAGCGAAAGCGAUAAGUCAUCCACCUGGGGAGUACGAUCGCAAGGUUGAAACUCAAAGGAAUUGACGGGGGCCCGCACAAGCGGAGGAGCAUGUGGUUUAAUUCGAUGAUACGCGAGGAACCUUACCUGGACUCAAAUGUUGAGUGACCGUUCCGGAGACGGGACUUCCCUUCGGGGCGCUCAGCAAGGUGCUGCAUGGUUGUCGUCAGCUCGUGCCGUGAGGUGUCGGCUUAAGUGCCAUAACGAGCGCAACCCCUUUCGUCAGUUGCCAUCAGGUGAUGCUGGGCACUCUGGCGAUACUGCCACCGUAAGGUGUGCGGAAGGUGGGGAUGACGUCAAAUCAGCACGGCCCUUACGUCCGGGGCUACACACGUGUUACAAUGGCGCAUACAGAGAGUCGGUCCUGUGCAAGCAGGGUCUAAUCGAGAAAGUGCGUCGUAGUUCGGACUGGGGUCUGCAACCCGACCCCACGAAGCUGGAUUCGCUAGUAAUCGCGCAUCAGCCAUGGCGCGGUGAAUACGUUCCCGGGCCUUGUACACACCGCCCGUCAAGCCAUGAAAGCCGGGGGCACCUGAAGUCUGUGACCGCGAGGGGCGGCCUAAGGUGAAACUGGUAAUUGGGGCUAAGUCGUAACAAGGUAACCGUA